RNAcentral lists this ribosomal RNA (495 nucleotides) under uncultured bacterium. Its description in RNAcentral is "partial 16S ribosomal RNA". It matches the Rfam family "Bacterial small subunit ribosomal RNA", at positions 28 to 507 of the family's 1533-position model. The record is from RNAcentral.
GACGAACGCUGGCGGCGUGCCUAAUACAUGCAAGUAGAACGCUGAGGGAGGAGCUUGCUUCUCUGGAUGAGUUGCGAACGGGUGAGUAACGCGUAGGUAACCUGCCUGGUAGCGGGGGAUAACUAUUGGAAACGAUAGCUAAUACCGCAUAAGAGUAGAUGUUGCAUGACAUUUACUUAAAAGGUGCAAUUGCAUCACUACCAGAUGGACCUGCGUUGUAUUAGCUAGUUGGUGAGGUAACGGCUCACCAAGGCAACGAUACAUAGCCGACCUGAGAGGGUGAUCGGCCACACUGGGACUGAGACACGGCCCAGACUCCUACGGGAGGCAGCAGUAGGGAAUCUUCGGCAAUGGACGGAAGUCUGACCGAGCAACGCCGCGUGAGUGAAGAAGGUUUUCGGAUCGUAAAGCUCUGUUGUAAGAGAAGAACGAGUGUGAGAGUGGAAAGUUCACACUGUGACGGUAUCUUACCAGAAAGGGACGGCUAACUACGUG